GACGAACGCUGGCGGCGUGCCUAAUACAUGCAAGUCGAGCGGAUUGAUUCGGAGCUUGCUCCGAUGAUGUCAGCGGCGGACGGGUGAGUAACACGUGGGUAACCUGCCUGGCAGACUGGGAUAACGCUUGGAAACGAGUGCUAAUACCGGAUAAUCUCUUGGAUCGCAUGGUCCGAGAGUAAAAGGAGCUUUUGCUUCACUGCCAGAUGGACCCGCGGCGCAUUAGCUAGUUGGUGAGGUAAUGGCUCACCAAGGCGACGAUGCGUAGCCGACCUGAGAGGGUGACCGGCCACACUGGGACUGAGACACGGCCCAGACUCCUACGGGAGGCAGCAGUAGGGAAUCUUCCGCAAUGGGCGCAAGCCUGACGGAGCAACGCCGCGUGAGUGAA
RNAcentral lists this ribosomal RNA (391 nucleotides) under uncultured bacterium. RNAcentral describes it as "bacterial SSU rRNA". It matches the Rfam family "Bacterial small subunit ribosomal RNA", at positions 28 to 409 of the family's 1533-position model. The record is from RNAcentral.